GAGUUUGAUCGUGGCUCAGGACGAACGCUGGCGGCGUGCCUAACACAUGCAAGUUGAGCGGAGAUAUGGAGAGCUCGCUCUUUAUAUUUUAGCAGCGAACGGGUGAGUAACACGUAGAUAAUUUGUCCUAUAUUGGGGGAGUAGGCCGAUGAAAAUUAGGUAUUAAUAACCGCAUACAGCUAUUUAACGCAUGGGGAGGACAGUGAAAGGGGAAACUUGAUAUAGGAGGAGUCUGCGGCACAUUAGCUAGUAGGUGGGGUAAGAGCUUACCUAGGCGACGAUGUGUAGCCGGUCUGAGAGGAUGAAC
Molecule: ribosomal RNA, 307 nt
Filed under: uncultured bacterium
Lineage: Bacteria
Description: bacterial SSU rRNA
Rfam family: Bacterial small subunit ribosomal RNA
Source: RNAcentral